CCCCGUGGAGCUUUACUGUAGCCUGAUAUUGAAAUUCGGCACAGCUUGUACAGGAUAGGUAGGAGCCUUUGAAACGUGAGCGCUAGCUUACGUGGAGGCGCUGGGGGGAUACUACCCUAGCUGUGUUGGCUUUCUAACCCGCACCACUUAUCGUGGUGGGAGACAGUGUCAGGCGGGCAGUUUGACUGGGGCGGUCGCCUCCUAAAAGGUAACGGAGGCGCUCAAAGGUUCCCUCAGAAUGGUUGGAAAUCAUUCAUAGAGUGUAAAGGCAUAAGGGAGCUUGACUGCGAGACCUACAAGUCGAGCAGGGUCGAAAGACGGACUUAGUGAUCCGGUGGUUCCGCAUGGAAGGGCCAUCGCUCAACGGAUAAAAGCUCCCCCGGGGAUAACAGGCUUAUCUCCCCCAAGAGUUCACAUCGACGGGGAGGUUUGGCACCUCGAUGUCGGCUCAUCGCAUCCUGGGGCUGUAGUCGGUCCCAAGGGUUGGG
Molecule: ribosomal RNA, 488 nt
Filed under: Staphylococcus aureus
Lineage: Bacteria; Bacillati; Bacillota; Bacilli; Caryophanales; Staphylococcaceae
Description: partial 23S ribosomal RNA
Rfam family: Bacterial large subunit ribosomal RNA
Source: RNAcentral